This 237-nucleotide ribosomal RNA is filed under the name uncultured Flavobacteriales bacterium. RNAcentral's name for it is "partial 16S ribosomal RNA". It matches the Rfam family "Bacterial small subunit ribosomal RNA", at positions 96 to 334 of the family's 1533-position model. Lineage: Bacteria; Pseudomonadati; Bacteroidota; Flavobacteriia; Flavobacteriales. The record is from RNAcentral.
CGGCGUACGGGUGCGGAACACGUGUGCAACCUGCCUUUAUCAAGGGGAUAGCCUUUCGAAAGGAAGAUUAAUACCCUAUAAUAUAUUGACUGGCAUCAGUUAAUAUUGAAAACUACGGUGGAUAAAGAUGGGCACGCGCAAGAUUAGCUAGUUGGUGAGGUAACGGCUCACCAAGGCGACGAUCUUUAGGGGGCCUGAGAGGGUGAUCCCCCACACUGGUACUGAGACACGGACCAG